This 253-nucleotide ribosomal RNA is filed under the name uncultured bacterium. RNAcentral describes it as "partial 16S ribosomal RNA". It matches the Rfam family "Bacterial small subunit ribosomal RNA", at positions 524 to 776 of the family's 1533-position model. The record is from RNAcentral.
CACGUAGGGGGCGAGCGUUGUCCGGAUUUAUUGGGCGUAAAGCGCGUGUAGGCGGUUCGGUAAGUCUGCUGUGAAAGUCCAGGGCUCAACCCUGGGAUGCCGGUGGAAACUGUCGGGCUAGAGUCCGGAAGAGGCGAGUGGAAUUCCUGGUGUAGCGGUGAAAUGCGCAGAUAUCAGGAGGAACACCGAUGGCGAAGGCAGCUCGCUGGGACGGUACUGACGCUGAGGCGCGAAAGCGUGGGGAGCAAACAGG